Molecule: ribosomal RNA, 476 nt
Filed under: uncultured bacterium
Lineage: Bacteria
Description: bacterial SSU rRNA
Rfam family: Bacterial small subunit ribosomal RNA
Source: RNAcentral
ACUCCUACGGGAGGCAGCAGUGGGGAAUAUUGCACAAUGGGCGCAAGCCUGAUGCAGCCAUGCCGCGUGUAUGAAGAAGGCCUUCGGGUUGUAAAGUACUUUCAGCAGUGAGGAAGGUGGUAGUGUUAAUAGCACUAUCAUUUGUACGUUAGCUGCAGAAGAAGCACCGGCUAACUCCGUGCCAGCAGCCGCGGUAAGUACGGAGGGUGCGAGCGUUAAUCGGAAUUACUGGGCGUAAAGCGCAUGCAGGUGGUUGUUAAGUCAGAUGUGAAAGCCCGGGGCUCAACCUCGGAAUUGCAUUUGAAACUGGCAGACUAGAGUACUGGUAGAGGGGGUAGGAAUUUCAGGUGUAGCGGUGAAAUGCGUAGAGAUCGUGAAGGAAUACCGGUGGCGAACGGCGGCCCCGUGGACAGAUACUGACACUCAGAUGCGAAAGCGUGGGAGCAAACAGGAUUAGAUACCCCGUGGUAGCGACU